This is a small nucleolar RNA of Magnolia sinica, 83 nucleotides long. RefSeq annotates it as small nucleolar RNA R38. Lineage: Eukaryota; Viridiplantae; Streptophyta; Magnoliopsida; Magnoliales; Magnoliaceae. The record is from RefSeq and is a predicted model, not a curated record. The transcript has a single exon.
CAUUUUGAAUGAUGAGAAUGAGAAAUGAACAGUUAUCCCUGUCUGAUUCAGUAAUGCUGAUACUUCUCAAAUCUGACACUUUG